RNAcentral lists this ribosomal RNA (342 nucleotides) under uncultured bacterium. Its description in RNAcentral is "bacterial SSU rRNA". It matches the Rfam family "Bacterial small subunit ribosomal RNA", at positions 29 to 376 of the family's 1533-position model. The record is from RNAcentral.
AAUGAACGUUGGCAGCGUGGAUUAGGCAUGCAAGUCGAGCGACAAGGUCCUGGACGUGGAGGAGCGGCAAACGGGUAGGUAAUACAUCGGAACGUACCCUCACGUCUGGGAUAGCCACGGGAAACUGUGGGUAAUACUGGAUAAUCUCACCGCUUGUGAAGAGUGGUGAGCAAAGGUCCGCCGCGUGAGGAGCGGCCGAUGCGAUACUAGAUAGUUGGUGGGGUAAUGGCCUACCAAGUCUAAGAUGUCUAGGGGGUGUGAGAGCAUGGCCCCCACCACUGGGACUGAGACACUGCCCAGACACCUACGGGUGGCUGCAGUCGAGAAUCUUUGGCAAUGGGC